UGGAAGGCGCUCAAGCAGGCUUUCCACUCGGAGCGGGAGAGGCGCCGCCGGGCAGAACUGUGCUCGGCUCUGCUGCCGCCACACUUCCGAGCCAUGAGGAGCAUCUGGAAGGCGGCGGGGCAGCCCGUGUCUGGCAAACGGAGGAUGCCAGUCGUGAGGAGGCUGUCGUCCAGAAGGCGAAGGUCAGCUCCUGCCCCACGCCCUCCAUCCUCACCAGAGCCACCAGAGCACGACGUUGGCAGGGACACCCCCAGCAUGCUGCCGUCACCGAUGCUGCAGCGUGCCAAUGACGAGCCAGAGAGCUCAGCUGGUGGGAAACACGUUGCUGGAGCGCCACCCACAGCCCGUGCCAUGCCACACACCUGUUGCUGCGUCUCUUCCCUCUCCCUCCUGGGCUGUCACACUGACCUGAUGCAGAAAGGAGGUUUUCCUGGUGAGACGUCCCUGGGGAUGGGAAGAGGAAACCAAGUGCUGCCACUGGCUGCUGCAGCCACAGGCUCCCACGAGACAGCAGCCACAAGUGAGCAGCCAGCAGCAGGUGAAGAUGCAUCAGACACAAGCCUGCAUGAUCCUCGCGUGAAAGGCUUGGUCCUGAGUCUCCAGCGUCAAGUGGUGCAUGUCCUGCACACAUUCUGUCAGCAGCAGAAGGCAUAUCUGGAGAACGUCUUCCACAACCUCGGGCAGGGUGAGUCUGGAGUGCCCUGCUGCCCUGGUGCUCCUCACACUUCCUCGGAUCCCAAAGAGAACCCUCAGCUGUCCUCUGAUGGCAGGUGCGCCCCCGCCUGAGUGCCACCAUCGCUGGCCCUAGGAGCAACAGCUUUGCUACAGAGCCAUGGCACAUAUCUUUAUAUCAGAGGUUCCAGAUAUUUUUAGAGUUUAUACUAGAGAGAAGUUAAUAAAAUUAAAAAUAGCUUUUCUACCA
This 922-nucleotide long non-coding RNA is filed under the name Zonotrichia albicollis (white-throated sparrow). RNAcentral describes it as "lncRNA (ENSZALG00000009358.1)". Lineage: Eukaryota; Metazoa; Chordata; Aves; Passeriformes; Passerellidae. The record is from RNAcentral.